UACGUAGGGGGCAAGCGUUGUCCGGAUUUAUUGGGCGUAAAGAGCGUGUAGGCGGCCAGAUAGGUCAGCUGUGAAAACUCGAGGCUCAACCUCGAGACGUCGGUUGAAACCGUCUGGCUAGAGUCCGGAAGAGGAGAGUGGAAUUCCCGGUGUAGCGGUGAAAUGCGCAGAUAUCGGGAAGAACACCCGUGGCGAAGGCGGCUCUCUGGGACGGUACUGACGCUGAGACGCGAAAGCGUGGGGAGCGAACAGG
Molecule: ribosomal RNA, 253 nt
Filed under: uncultured bacterium
Lineage: Bacteria
Description: partial 16S ribosomal RNA
Rfam family: Bacterial small subunit ribosomal RNA
Source: RNAcentral